Molecule: non-coding RNA, 552 nt
Organism: Chiloscyllium plagiosum (whitespotted bambooshark)
Lineage: Eukaryota; Metazoa; Chordata; Chondrichthyes; Orectolobiformes; Hemiscylliidae
Source: RefSeq, a predicted model, not a curated record
AUGGUGCCAGGAACAAACUCGGCCUGUAGAAGAUACAGGGGAUCCUGAAGGGCAAGGGAAAUCAAAAGAACGGAAUAUUGUUUAAAUGGAGAAAAACUGCAACACAGGAAUUUGAGAGUGAAAAGAGAAGAAAUCAUGAAGUGACAAGGAUAUCAUCUCUCUUCAGAAAUGUGCUGUCCUCCUUCAUCAAUAUCACUACUCCAACUCUUUGAGGUUUUCGGACGCAGUGGGUAGUACUACUGCCUUUGAUUCGGAUGCUUCAGGCUCGAGCCCCACCCCAGGACUUGACAGUACAUUCUCAAUUCAGCCAAACAGGUUAAGAAUCAAUCUGCAAAUACAUCUCACACACCAAUGACAGACAGUAACAGCAGGAAAGAUUCCUGAUUUGCCACAUGAUGAAAUGGACGUUGAAGCUUUUACCAUCACUACUUAAAGAUCCAAGAUACAACAUGCUUAUUAAAAUUUUUGGUACAUUAUUUGUGUCAUCCUCUGUGAAGACAGAACCAAAAAUAUACAUUUAAUUGGUCCACCAUCUCUUUGUUUCUCAUUAUA